GCCAAUGUAGCUCAGUCGGUAGAGCAAUUCCCUCGUAAUGAAUAGGUCAUCGGUUCGAUUCCGAUCAUUGGCUCCA
This 76-nucleotide transfer RNA is filed under the name Lentisphaeria bacterium. RNAcentral's name for it is "tRNA-Thr". It matches the Rfam family "tRNA". From Rfam's summary of the family: Transfer RNA (tRNA) molecules are approximately 80 nucleotides in length. The record is from RNAcentral. Lineage: Bacteria; Pseudomonadati; Lentisphaerota; Lentisphaeria.